RNAcentral lists this ribosomal RNA (497 nucleotides) under uncultured bacterium. RNAcentral's name for it is "partial 16S ribosomal RNA". It matches the Rfam family "Bacterial small subunit ribosomal RNA", at positions 28 to 507 of the family's 1533-position model. The record is from RNAcentral.
GAUGAACGCUGGCGGCGUGCCUAAUACAUGCAAGUCGAGCGAACAGACGAUGAGCUUGCUCCUCUGACGUUAGCGGCGGACGGGUGAGUAACACGUGUAUAACCUACCUAUCAGACUGGGAUAACUUCGGGACACCGGAUCUAAUACCGUAUAAUAUAUUGAACCGCAUUGUUCAAUGGUAAAAUACGGUUUUUCUGUCACUUAUAGAUGGUUCCGCGCCGCUGGAGCUAGUUGGUAAGGUAACGGCUUACCAAGGCAACGAUGCGUAGCCGAACUGAGAGGGUGAUCGGCCACACGGGAAGUGAGACGAGGUCCAGCAUACUAAGGGAGGCAGCAGUAGGGAAUCUUCCGCAAUGGGCGAAAGCCUGACGGAGCAACGCCGCGUGAGUGAUGAAGGUCUUCGGAUCGUAAAACUCUGUUAUUAGGGAAGAACAAAUGUGUAAGUAACUAUGCACGUCUUGACGGUACCUAAUCAGAAAGCCCCGGCUAACUACGUG